AACACGAGUGCUUGCACUUGGUGGCGAGUGGCGAACGGGUGAGUAAUACAUCGGAACGUGUCCUAAAUGGGGGGAUAACGCAUCGAAAGAUAGUGCUAAUACCGCAUAUACUCUAAGGAGGAAAUAGGGGAUCGAAAGACCUUAUGCUUUUGGAGCGGCCGAUGUCUGAUUAGCUAGUUGGUGAGGUAAAUGCUUACCAAGGCGACGAUCAGUAGUUGGUCUGAGAGGACGACCAGCCACACUGGGACUGAGACACGGCCCAGACUCC
Molecule: ribosomal RNA, 268 nt
Filed under: uncultured bacterium
Lineage: Bacteria
Description: partial 16S ribosomal RNA
Rfam family: Bacterial small subunit ribosomal RNA
Source: RNAcentral